AGUUUGACCCCGGAAGUGCGGGCGCUCAGGGAGCUGUCACCGUGGUCGGCGGCGGCGGAGGCGGCGGCGGCACAGAGCCGGUGGUGGAGCCGCCGAGGUGAUCUUUGACGAGACUCUACAGAAGUGCCUGGACUCCUACCUGCACUAUGUCCCCCGCAAAUUCGAUGAGGGGGUGGCCUCAGCCCCUGAGGUUGUUGACAUGCAGAAGCGCCUCCAUCGAAGUGUUUUUCUCACCUUCCUCCGCAUGUCCACUCACAAGGAAUCCAAAGAUCACUUCAUUUCCCCUUCUGCGUUUGGAGAAAUCCUCUACAAUAACUUCCUCUUUGACAUUCCAAAGAUCCUGGACCUCUGUGUGCUCUUUGGAAAAGGCAACUCACCACUGCUCCAGAAGAUGAUAGGAAACAUCUUUACACAGCAGCCAAGUUACUACAGUGACCUGGAUGAAACCCUGCCUACCAUCCUUCAGACAGGGUCUUGCUCUGUCACCGAGGCUAGAGUGCAGUGGCACAAUCAUAGAUCACUGCAGCCUUGAACUCCUGGGCUCAGUUGAUCCU
RNAcentral lists this small RNA (554 nucleotides) under Pongo abelii (Sumatran orangutan). RNAcentral describes it as "processed transcript". The record is from RNAcentral. Lineage: Eukaryota; Metazoa; Chordata; Mammalia; Primates; Hominidae.